This 465-nucleotide long non-coding RNA is filed under the name Ananas comosus (pineapple). RNAcentral describes it as "long non-coding RNA (ACOM_LNC035683)". The record is from RNAcentral. Lineage: Eukaryota; Viridiplantae; Streptophyta; Magnoliopsida; Poales; Bromeliaceae.
CAAACUUUCUCUCUCUCUCUCUCUCUCUCUCUCUCUCUCUCUCUCUAUAUAUAUAUAUAAUUGAGCUAGAAUAUUUUUAAAAAUAUCACCCCAUUUUUACUUCUAGGUUUCUAGCCCUUGGAUCUACUCCUUGAUUACUAAUAAUACUUGGAUCAAAUACUAUUCCAUCUACCAUCACCUACCACCACCUACCACCAUCAUCCCAACCUUAUAUUUCUCAAUCCAAGGGUUAAAAACUCAAAAGCACCAACCUCUGGGUGUUUUUGAGAGUAUUCUAACUCAACUCUCUCUCUCUCUCUCUCUCUCUCUCUCUCUAUAUAUAUAUAUAUAUAUAUAGUAUAGAGCUACUAUGCUAUCGGAAGCAUAAAUUAGUUGGUGCUUCCGAUUUUCUCGCCCUUGGAUCAAAAAUUUUACGGUUGGGAUGAUAGUGCACUACAGGAAAAGGCGCUUGUAGAGGCGGAUUUU